AUACGGAGGGUGCAAGCGUUAAUCGGAAUUACUGGGCGUAAAGCGCGCGUAGGCGGUUUGAUAAGUCGGAUGCGAAAUCCCCGGGCUCAACCUGGGAAUUGCAUUCGAUACUGUCAGGCUAGAGUGUGGUAGAGGGAAGUGGAAUUUCCGGUGUAGCGGUGAAAUGCGUAGAUAUCGGAAGGAACACCAGUGGCGAAGGCGGCUUCCUGGACCAACACUGACGCUGAGGUGCGAAAGCGUGGGGAGCAAACAGGAUUAGAAACCCUAGUAGUCC
This 274-nucleotide ribosomal RNA is filed under the name uncultured bacterium. RNAcentral's name for it is "partial 16S ribosomal RNA". It matches the Rfam family "Bacterial small subunit ribosomal RNA", at positions 523 to 796 of the family's 1533-position model. The record is from RNAcentral.